GCCUUGCAUCCCAAACUCAUGCUCACAAUAGGUUUACUCCAAUCAGCUUCCAUGUCAUCCAAGUGACCCCCAAGCAUAUCACCUAAUCCAAAAUAGUUUACUAUUGCAGCUUCCGGGUGGAAUUCUUCUCCCAUAAGCAUUGCAGGAGCAGCCAAUCUUUUAGCCAGCUGACAGAGUGCAUCAGGGAUCUUGUUAUGUGGGAGAGAUGCAUUGUAAUUACGCUUGGACCAGUCAAAUUGCAAGCCAAGGGUACUCCACCGCAGCUUUCGUAAUAAUGCUGAGGCUGAAAUGGAUUUACAUGUCUUUCCUCUUGAUGAAACAACAUGCUCCUCACAAAAUUUCCAUUUAUAAGAAUGUUCAUUGCUGACACAAGCAUUAGAUCCAGAAUCUAAACUUGUAUGUGUAUUCUCAUCCUCUACAAGUACUUUCCU
RNAcentral lists this unclassified non-coding RNA (431 nucleotides) under Hevea brasiliensis (rubber tree). Lineage: Eukaryota; Viridiplantae; Streptophyta; Magnoliopsida; Malpighiales; Euphorbiaceae. The record is from RNAcentral.